AUAGAGCAACAACCUCUAUGCAGUUUUAAGUGAGCCCCGGUAAUCUUUUCCUUCCGCCAAGAUUGAAGAAGAUUAUCGGGGCUUUUACUU
This 90-nucleotide antisense RNA is filed under the name Klebsiella pneumoniae subsp. pneumoniae BJ1-GA. RNAcentral's name for it is "CopA". It matches the Rfam family "CopA-like RNA". Rfam says of the family: In several groups of bacterial plasmids, antisense RNAs regulate copy number through inhibition of replication initiator protein synthesis. These RNAs are characterised by a long hairpin structure interrupted by several unpaired residues or bulged loops. In plasmid R1, the inhibitory complex between the antisense RNA (CopA) and its target mRNA (CopT) is characterised by a four-way junction structure and a side-by-side helical alignment. The record is from RNAcentral. Lineage: Bacteria; Pseudomonadati; Pseudomonadota; Gammaproteobacteria; Enterobacterales; Enterobacteriaceae.